UCACGGGUAGCUUAAGUAAAGUUGGACUUUGAAGAGGUCAAGAUAGGUAUUCUCCCGAGAA
Molecule: transfer RNA, 61 nt
Filed under: Eomenopon denticulatum
Lineage: Eukaryota; Metazoa; Arthropoda; Insecta; Psocodea; Menoponidae
Description: tRNA-Phe
Source: RNAcentral